Esox lucius (northern pike) is the source of this 1035-nucleotide long non-coding RNA. Lineage: Eukaryota; Metazoa; Chordata; Actinopteri; Esociformes; Esocidae. The record is from Ensembl.
GUGUUUGGCCAGUGUUAUUAGGCUGUUUGACUGUGGUGUUUAAGCACAUUAUAAUUACCUUGUCCCUCAAUCUGGGCUAACAUCAUAACAUACCUGUGACCACCACCAUGGACAAUGCCCACUCAACUGGCCUCGGGGAAGGAAAGCCAAAUUAAAUUCCCACACUAAUUAAGGAGGGGUGAGUUAAAAAAACAAACAAGUGGAGCAAACCAAACAUGGAAACACACAAGUUUCAGUCUUGUAUUCUUUUAACAAGUGGUGGAAAAUAAUCUAAGUCAUUGCUGUCUGUGCGUUUCAUUGAAGCACCGCGACAGAAGCUAUUCUGUCCGUCCCUGCCCAGAUGAAAGACGUCUGCACUAACGAGAUGACCAGUUCAGAUGAAACACAUGCUGACAAACCGGGUCGAUUCCAAACAGUGCCAGCCUAAAUUAGGUUGUCUGAAUCAAAUCAUAAUGUUGAAAUCGGGUGAAAAUGUCUUCGGCACAACAGUUCCAAUGUAUGUCUCGGAAGAAUUUUUGUGUGUAACGCCGUUCUUUAUACGAUACCUUACCACAUAAUUUUUAACCUCCAAUCCACAGUGAUAUUUAUAAGAUAUUCCUGGGGAUAUUCUCCCUAUUUGGAGAUCCAUGUAUCCGUACCACUGGUUAAAGAGAGGACGGUGAGAGGAGAGGAAAGAAAACAAGCCGGCAGUAUGGCAGUAAUCACGGACUGGCUGUCAGGGCUGCUGCCCAUGAUGGCGGGUCAAGGUGUCUGGGCCUGUGGAGGAUGGCCCACACUGAAUAACCUUAUGAGCUUCCCCGAUCAUUGGGAUUGGGAGGGAAAACGGCUUUUUAUCUUUAUGAGCCUUGAAUUCCACGAGGAUCAGAGAGAGUGGAAGAGGAGAAGGUGAGGGCGCAGGUUAUCUAUAAAGGGCUGUGGCUAAUAGUGUUGUGUGCGCCAGGAGCUGGAGACUUCAGACGUGUCAGUUCCUGAGACUACUGUGUUAUUAGAUGUUCCCAAGGAUAUGAGUAAUGGAGAAAGGAGAGGAGUGGAGAG